Molecule: ribosomal RNA, 429 nt
Filed under: Gemmatimonadota bacterium
Lineage: Bacteria; Pseudomonadati; Gemmatimonadota
Description: Gemmatimonadetes bacterium partial 16S ribosomal RNA
Rfam family: Bacterial small subunit ribosomal RNA
Source: RNAcentral
UAGGGAAUCUUCGGCAAUGGACGAAAGUCUGACCGAGCAACGCCGCGUGAGUGAAGAAGGUUUUCGGAUCGUAAAACUCUGUUGUUAGAGAAGAACAAGGACGUUAGUAACUGAACGUCCCCUGACGGUAUCUAACCAGAAAGCCACGGCUAACUACGUGCCAGCAGCCGCGGUAAUACGUAGGUGGCAAGCGUUGUCCGGAUUUAUUGGGCGUAAUGCGAGCGCAGGCGGUUUCUUAAGUCUGAUGUGAAAGCCCCCGGCUCAACCGGGGAGGGUCAUUGGAAACUGGGAGACUUGGGUGCAGAAGAGGAGAGUGGAAUUCCAUGUGUAGCGGUGAAAUGCGUAGAUAUAUGGAGGAACACCAGUGGCGAAGGCGGCUCUCUGGUCUGUAACUGACGCUGAGGCUCGAAAGCGUGGGGAGCAAACAGG